GCCUGGGAGAAGAAGCUGAGCUACCUAGAAGAGGUUUAGCCCAAUGGAGCCACAUGGAAAGGAUACUCUCCAACCUGCCUGCAGGCUAAGUAGAGUGCACCAGAUUUCCACCUUUUCUGAUGGAUUUUGGUGAUGCUCUCUUUGAGUCAUUUCUGCUUCUGGAAGUAAUUCCCAUAGAACUCAUUGGUUUACCAAGUUGAACUUUGGCGGUGUCCAUACUUUGGUCUGUUGUGGGCUUUCUCUCUGGGGUGCUUGAGGAAACUAGAAGAGAAUGUUGGAUCCCCUGGACCUGGAGUUACAGGCAGUUGUGAGGUGCUUGAUGUGUGUGCUGGGAGAGGAACCCGGAUCCUCUGCAAAAGCAGGCCACAAGCUGAUGUAUAAGACUUCAACACAUGAACCUGUGUGGACAUUCUAUAUCCAAAACAUAUCAGAAUGACAAGGCAAUGAUUUCAGAGGUAAAUAUUCUGGCUCAUGGAGAGCUCAGUGAUGCGGUUCUUAAACUGAAGACUCAAAGCAAGAUAAGAGGAGACCAUGUUGCUUCAUAAUAACUAUUUUCUUUAUGUCAAAUGAAAGACUGGGAAAAGCAGAAGGAGAUUUAUUUAAUGUGGCUACUUAGGGAAGAGGAUCCAGUGACCACCCCGCCACCCUAUCAUCUCUGGAGUGCAAGAAAGAUGUUUACACUCGGGAGGCAGAGGCAGAGGCAGAGGCAGCUCUGUGAGUUCGAGACCAGCCUGGUCUACAAGAGCUAGUUCCAGGACAGCCUCCAAAGCCACAGAGAAAC
RNAcentral lists this long non-coding RNA (781 nucleotides) under Cricetulus griseus (Chinese hamster). Its description in RNAcentral is "lncRNA (ENSCGRG00015032525.1)". Lineage: Eukaryota; Metazoa; Chordata; Mammalia; Rodentia; Cricetidae. The record is from RNAcentral.